AACGCACGAGACCUGCGGACCUGCGGAGGGAUCAUUAACGAGAAGCUGCCCCUCGUGGGUAGACCUCCCACCCUCUGUGAACUUACCUUUGUUGCUUUGGCAGGCCCGUCCUCUGGACCGCCGGCUUCGGCUGGCCCGUGCCUGCCAGAGGAUUCCAAACCCUGUCUGUCAGUGUUGUCUGAGUCUAUAUGAAAUCGUUAAAACUUUCAGCAAUGGAUCUCUAGAUCGGAAGAGCACACG
RNAcentral lists this unclassified non-coding RNA (240 nucleotides) under soil metagenome. RNAcentral's name for it is "partial contains 5.8S ribosomal RNA, internal transcribed spacer 2, and large subunit ribosomal RNA". The record is from RNAcentral.